Molecule: long non-coding RNA, 1245 nt
Organism: Nannospalax galili (Upper Galilee mountains blind mole rat)
Lineage: Eukaryota; Metazoa; Chordata; Mammalia; Rodentia; Spalacidae
Exons: 2
Source: RefSeq, a predicted model, not a curated record
AUAAACUCUUUCCUCCCCAAGCUGUUAUUGGUCACAGCAAUGGAGAACAAACUAGAACAGACCACAAGGAAGUCAAGGUCCUUAGAAGAAAUGGACUUGAACAUCUGGAGAUCCCAAUAUGCAACUGGACUUGACUUAUUUUUAUUCUAUUUUAUGUUAUUUUAGGUUUGUUGUUUUUUGAGCCAGGGUCUUGGCUAUGUAAUCUAGGCUGACUUCUACAUGCCCUAGACUUGUCACAAAAUUUCAGUUCUCUAUUUUGGUCCUCUUGCUUCUGCCUCUUGAAGGCUGAAGUUACAAAUGUGUGCUACCAUGGGUCAUAGACUUGACUUAUACUGUGAAACCCCAAACUUUGUCCUGAUGUCAUACUGAAAUGAAACCUUGGGCACCUUGGACAGAGUAUAACGUUGACUGCCCACAGAAGGAUAGGAGUUUUGUGUGUGUGUGUGUGUGUGUGUGUGUGUGUGUCCAGGAGGUAGAUUGUGGCAAAGUACAUCUUUCAAUAAUGUCACAGUAUUUCCCAUUUUUACUCAUUCUUAUCCAGUGUGACAGAUUAUCUUUCCCUUGGAUUGGGGGAAGCUUAUGACUCCUUUGACCCACAGUAUAAAAGUACCAGUAAUGUGAUGUGAACUGACAAAUCUGGAUCAUAAGAGGUAAAGAGUUUUUACCUUAUUUUCUGAAAUGCUUGUAUUUAAUACUGUUGACCAUUGUUUGAGAAACCCACUACCUAAUGCAGCCAAACUCUGAGAAACCCAAGUCAUAUGUGGAGACUUGGCUACAGGGACUUCUGUCAACAGUACCAGCUCCAGCCAGUUGAGUUGUCCUCAUUGAGGCUGUGAGCAUGGUAUGGGACAAGCCAAUUCCAUCAUGCCUAUUCCCCAUAUAAAGGAUUCAUGAAGUUGAUAGAAUAGUUGUUUCAUACAGGAGUCUUUGAGGUAGUAAUUGGAGCAAGUGUGUAACUUAUAAGCCUCUGAAGGUUCAUUUGCUCUGUUGGUAAUAGAAAAAGAGACUUGGUAAUGAGUAAAGUAUGAGCUUCAGUGAAAAAUUUUGUGACAUAAAAUUUUAGCUGCCUAGUGGCUGUCUUAUUUAAUUACCUGACCUUGAGGUAAUAAGUCCUGUGGAUCUGUCUGAGCUCUAGAUAACUGACAUAUUACUGUAUACUAGUUAGCACUAGUUUAUUUAUGACAUUUCAUUUGAUUUGUCUCAUGUUCUCUUAAUUUAAAAACCUCAAUAAAUGUGAUUGUUUCA